CUGAUUUAUACUGUGAGAACGAAAGUUCUUGCUUUUAACUAGAUAACAACUUUCAGCAGUGGAUGUCUAGGCUCGCACAUCGAUGAAGAACGCUGCGAACUGCGAUACGUAAUGCGAAUUGCAGAAUUCAGUGAGUCAUCGAAAUUUUGAACGCAUAUUGCACUUCCGGGUUAUGCCUGGAAGUAUGUCUGUAUCAGUGUCCGUAGCGUUUCUUCCUUCCGUGUAGUCGGUGGAGGAGAGUUGCAGAUGUGAAGUGUCUCGCUGUGGUUGGUGUUUGUUGUUUGCAAUGAAUGCACAGCUUGCGAGUCCUUUUAAAUGGACACGACUUUCUCUUUUUUGUAUGUGCGCGGUGCUGUGCGUGAACGCGGUGGUUUUCGGAUCGCUCGCGGCUGUCGGCGACUUCGGUGAAUGCAUAAUGGAGUGGACCUCGAUUCGCGGUAUGUUGGGCUUCGGCUGGACAAUGUUGCUUAUUGUGUGUCUGUUCCGUGUUCGCCUUGAGGUGUACUGAUGGCUGUGGGAUUGAACUGGUUACUGUUGUUAGUAGUGUGUGUAGCACGUUGUCGUGGAUGCAUCUGUGUUUUUGCAUACUUGUGUGUGUGCAAUUGUACAGAAGAGGAGUCUCAAUUUGGGAAAAGUUU
This 638-nucleotide ribosomal RNA is filed under the name Globisporangium irregulare. RNAcentral's name for it is "eukaryotic LSU rRNA". The stretch from base 48 to 202 matches the Rfam family "5.8S ribosomal RNA". The record is from RNAcentral. Lineage: Eukaryota; Oomycota; Peronosporomycetes; Pythiales; Pythiaceae.